RNAcentral lists this ribosomal RNA (497 nucleotides) under Enterococcus durans. RNAcentral's name for it is "bacterial SSU rRNA". It matches the Rfam family "Bacterial small subunit ribosomal RNA", at positions 44 to 513 of the family's 1533-position model. The record is from RNAcentral. Lineage: Bacteria; Bacillati; Bacillota; Bacilli; Lactobacillales; Enterococcaceae.
GUGCCUAAUACAUGCAAGUCGUACGCUUCUUUUUCACCGGAGCUUGCUCCACCGGAAAAAGAAGAGUGGCGAACGGGUGAGUAACACGUGGGUAACCUGCCCAUCAGAAGGGGAUAACACUUGGAAACAGGUGCUAAUACCGUAUAACAAUCGAAACCGCAUGGUUUUGAUUUGAAAGGCGCUUUCGGGUGUCGCUGAUGGAUGGACCCGCGGUGCAUUAGCUAGUUGGUGAGGUAACGGCUCACCAAGGCCACGAUGCAUAGCCGACCUGAGAGGGUGAUCGGCCACAUUGGGACUGAGACACGGCCCAAACUCCUACGGGAGGCAGCAGUAGGGAAUCUUCGGCAAUGGACGAAAGUCUGACCGAGCAACGCCGCGUGAGUGAAGAAGGUUUUCGGAUCGUAAAACUCUGUUGUUAGAGAAGAACAAGGAUGAGAGUAACUGUUCAUCCCUUGACGGUAUCUAACCAGAAAGCCACGGCUAACUACGUGCCAGCA